GUAUCUUUUACAAACAGUAUCCAUAUUCCUGUGCCCUAGAUUCACUUACACAUGACAUGAAGAUUCCAGAGCAGGACUGUAGGAAGUAACAGUAGUCUGAAAGCAGCAAAGAUCAGCUUAGUUACGAGACUGAAAAGAGGAGCCAAAAUGAAGAACAUUUGCCUAAAGUCAGCCAUGCACAAACUGCAGGCAAACCCAGAAAAACAGUGUGAAGAUAUGGACAGACCAGAAUAGAAGCAGCCAUGACGGAUGAGUCACCUAGUUCAAUAAAGGGCAAAUCUUCAAUCU
This is a long non-coding RNA of Pezoporus flaviventris, 288 nucleotides long. RefSeq lists it as uncharacterized. The transcript has 2 exons. The record is from RefSeq and is a predicted model, not a curated record. Lineage: Eukaryota; Metazoa; Chordata; Aves; Psittaciformes; Psittacidae.